Myotis lucifugus (little brown bat) is the source of this 1354-nucleotide long non-coding RNA. RefSeq lists it as uncharacterized. The record is from RefSeq and is a predicted model, not a curated record. The transcript is spliced from 4 exons. NCBI's taxonomy places the organism in Eukaryota, Metazoa, Chordata, Mammalia, Chiroptera, Vespertilionidae.
UCAACCAGUUUGAUGAGAUCGUCAAGAAUAAUGAUACUGUGGGGGAUGUGAAAGAUGAACACACGUUGCCUAUAAGCUUGCAAUUGCCCCUAUGGUUGUCCAAUGAAAACAAGCUUUUACUCAGCACUUAUUUUCCAGGCUUAGAAUUAAGUGGCAUCGGACAUGGACCUGCUUUCAAUGAGCUUUCACUCAGAUGGGGACACAUCCUGACUACCAGCACCUGUGAUACAGGUGCAUGCAGUGGUCCUGCUCUUGCCGGAGCUCUUCUGCCAUGCGGGCAGCCUGUGGGAGACCAGGAGAAGAGCACGAGCUGGAGCUGGGUCUGCAUCCAGGCUCAUAGUGCCUUUGAGAGCACUUAAUACAGAGCCUGGACAGAGCAGGUCUCCAAUAAACACAUGUUGGAUGCAUGGAUCCAGCUAUACAUGCUUUAAAGACCAACCUGAUGAUGAAGAGUGAUAAAGGAGGACUUCACCUCUAUUUGUGUUUAUUUCUUAAGGCGAAGUGCCUCUGCCCGGCCCUUGGCUUCUGCAUCCAGGCUGGUCUGCAAAGACUCAAUGGCCCGCUGGUGGUUCUUCCUACAAGUCCAAGCAGAGAAGGCCUUGACGUACUGGACAAGCACAUUCAGUCUAUGCUAAACCUAGAUAAGAGACUUCUGAACAUCAACAUGAGAAUAGCAUGUUGGAAGGUGAAAGUUUAUCACAUGUCUUUUGUGAUAUCGAUUCAUUUAACAUAAAAACAGUCCUGCAAGAAAACUGAGGUUCCAGGAUGAUGGAAAACAUGCCAAAGGUCAUCCAUUUAGCCCACAAUGAGUUGCAUUCAAACCUAGAUGCUGAGGUCCAGUUUUAUUUAUUACAAAAUAGGAAUUUUUACUAUACAAGUUAGAUAUAUAUUUAUCUUCAAAACAAUUCAUUGAUUGUUCUUAAUAUAUAUAUUAAUUAUGUUGUAAUUAACAUAAACAUUUCCAAAAAGCCCUCAUAUAAACUGUAUUAAUCUCCUUUUAUAGGAGGGGACCAGAGGAGUUAAUUUAAAUGUUAAAAAAAUAAUUGUUUCAUUGAGGCAAAUAAAUGAUUAGCAUGUAAAGAUCUUGUCCACAUUAUGCUCACCUCUGCUUCACCCCUGAACACUCACUAUGUGCAGGCAUGUUGCUGGAUUUGCAGUACUUUGAGGUGUAUUCAAUUUGCAGAUAUGGGCAAGGAUAUCAUGACAUUCUCAAAAGCGAACAAAAUUGGAACUCAUUUUGGGUUAAAAAUAAAUACAAGCAAAAACAUUGAAAAAAUUAAAGAAGAUCUAAAUAAAUGGAAAAAUAUUUAUGUUUAUGGAUUUAAUAUUGUUAAGGUGGGAUUAAAUGCAAUCU